UACAGAGGGUGCGAGCGUUGUUCGGAAUUAUUGGGCGUAAAGGGCGCGUAGGCGGUGCGGCAAGUCACCUGUGAAACCUCUGGGCUUAACCCAGAGCCUGCAGGCGAAACUGCCGUGCUGGAGUGUGGGAGAGGUGCGUGGAAUUCCCGGUGUAGCAGUGAAAUGCGUAGAGAUCGGGAGGAACAUCAGUUGCGAAGGCGGCUCUCUGGACCAGCACUGACACUGAGGCACGAAAGCGUGGGGAGCAAACAGG
RNAcentral lists this ribosomal RNA (253 nucleotides) under uncultured bacterium. RNAcentral's name for it is "partial 16S ribosomal RNA". It matches the Rfam family "Bacterial small subunit ribosomal RNA", at positions 524 to 776 of the family's 1533-position model. The record is from RNAcentral.